RNAcentral lists this ribosomal RNA (840 nucleotides) under Bradybaena blakeana. Its description in RNAcentral is "partial 16S ribosomal RNA". It matches the Rfam family "Archaeal large subunit ribosomal RNA", at positions 1488 to 2708 of the family's 2987-position model. Lineage: Eukaryota; Metazoa; Mollusca; Gastropoda; Stylommatophora; Camaenidae. The record is from RNAcentral.
UCACGAAAUGGUUGGAGCUAAUUAUAUAUAAUUUAUAGAUUAUACCCAGUGUGUGGUAUAAUGCUGGAAAAAGAUAUAUUUAGGUGUGAUAGGCUUUCCAAAAAACCAAGAUAUCUUGAUAGUGCCAAAACGUAUUUAGUACGUAGAGACAAAUAUAAAGUGUUUAGGCUUUAUAUAAUCUCAAAAUUUAAUUAAGAAAUUAAAAGGUUUAAUCGUCUUUUAAGUACAGAUACUAGUAUAAAUUUUAAAUAGUUUGGGGUGAUUAAGCGCUUCUAUAGUAACUAGGUUCUAUAGUAAUAAUGUUACCAUUAGUAUUUAUUAAGGCGUCUAUAAUGAACUCGGCAAAUAAGUAUUCUCGACUGUUUAUCAAAAACAUAGCUGUAUGAGAAUAUAUAUAGUUAUUUCUGCUCAAUGUAACAUAAAUGGCCGCAGUACUCUGACUGUGCAAAGGUAGCAUAAUCAAUUGGCUUAUAAUUGAAGUCUAGUAUGAAAGAAAAUACGGGAAUAGACUAUAUAUAAGGAUGUGUUUUAAAAAUUACUUAAUAAGUGAAAAGACUUAUGACUAAAUAAUAGACGAGAAGACCCUAGAAAUUUUUAGAACAAAUAUUAUAUAAUUUUUGUUGGGGCGACACAGUAGCAUUAAAACCUACUAAGAUGGAUAUGAUUAGUGUACUAGGAGUAUUUAAAUUACUCUAGGGAUAACAGCAUAAUAUUUAAAAGUUUGUGACCUCGAUGUUGGACUAGGAUACUACCGCCCAGAAGGUUGCUAGUAAAGCUCUGUUCGAGCAAUUUACUCCUACAUGAUCUGAGUUCAGACCGGCGUAAGCCAGGUCAGUUUCU